This 898-nucleotide long non-coding RNA is filed under the name Rosa chinensis. RNAcentral's name for it is "sRNA RchiOBHm_Chr1g0328101". Lineage: Eukaryota; Viridiplantae; Streptophyta; Magnoliopsida; Rosales; Rosaceae. The record is from RNAcentral.
CCGCCCGGCGCGGUCUCCCUCUGACGCCCAUUGUAUUUUAUUUGACAGGUAACGGGAACCACUCACAACAAAGGUAUCGAUCCGCCUGCCGGAUCAGCGUUAACUAAGGUCCAGCUACCGCUAGACUUUUAGACAUUAACAUUGGCGCCGUCUGUGGGAAUCCUUGAACAGAAGGUCAUCCCAUCACAGUUACCAUGACUAACGGUAGCGGGGGAAAUAGCGGGGAGCAGGCAGACCAGUCCGCCGUUCCCCAACCCGCCCGCCCAGCGGUAAGCAUCAACCGCGCACUAUUCAACACCCCGGUCAACCCAGGCGGUGAAACAAAUCCAGGCAGCAGCCGUCCCCCAGGUCAGGACCUCACCGCCUUGUAUGAACUGGCGCUGGCAGACCUCCACAAAGCAAACAGAGAGCGCGAGCAGGAACGCAAGGAGAAGGCGGAGGCCCAAAACCAAGUGGCCACGCUGAUGACACGUUUCGACGAGCUAAGGCGAACGCUGGACGCAAACGCCAACCCUGCACGAAGUGAGCAGUCACACAGCACCAGACACAGCCGGCCUACCGCUGGUAUAGGACCCAUCGUGCAAAUGCAGGUACCGCUAAGCCCACCUGAGCUGGCAGGAAUGGGACCACCCCCUAUCCCACAACUGCCGGAGCAGGAGGCGGAGUCAUCGCUGCGCACCCACCACUCGAGGACUAGAACAAGGACUGAGGGUAAUCUACCCAUUCCCGGGCGGGGGUUCGCUCCGCGGAACGCCCGAGCGGGCCCCGCUGGCGACGCAACCACCCAAAUUUUGGAGAGGAUGCAGCAGUUAGAACGGAGAUUAAUCCUGGCGGAGGCAGGCACCCCGGCGCCAGCCCCAAACCCACUCUUCGCGUCCAGGCCAGGCCCAUUCACCGC